GUAGGGAAUCUUCCACAAUGGACGCAAGUCUGAUGGAGCAACGCCGCGUGAGUGAAGAAGGUCUUCGGAUCGUAAAACUCUGUUGUUAGAGAAGAACACGAGUGAGAGUAACUGUUCAUUCGAUGACGGUAUCUAACCAGCAAGUCACGGCUAAUUACGCGCCAG
This 165-nucleotide ribosomal RNA is filed under the name uncultured bacterium. RNAcentral's name for it is "partial 16S rRNA". It matches the Rfam family "Bacterial small subunit ribosomal RNA", at positions 354 to 511 of the family's 1533-position model. The record is from RNAcentral.